This 216-nucleotide ribosomal RNA is filed under the name uncultured Syntrophaceae bacterium. RNAcentral describes it as "partial 16S ribosomal RNA". It matches the Rfam family "Bacterial small subunit ribosomal RNA", at positions 1170 to 1382 of the family's 1533-position model. Lineage: Bacteria; Pseudomonadati; Thermodesulfobacteriota; Syntrophia; Syntrophales; Syntrophaceae. The record is from RNAcentral.
GAAGUGGGGAUGACGUCAAGUCCUCAUGGCCUUUAUGCCCAGGGCUACACACGUGCUACAAUGGCGGUACAAAGAGAAGCAAACCUCGCGAGGGUGAGCAAACUACUCAAAAAGCCGUUCUCAGUUCGGAUUGAAGUCUGCAACUCGACUUCAUGAAGUCGGAAUCGCUAGUAAUCGCGGAUCAGCAUGCCGCGGUCGAAUACGUUCCCGGGCCUU